AGAGUUUGAUUCUGGCUCAGGACGAACGCUGGCGGCAUGCCUAACACAUGCAAGUCGAACGGAGUAAUGACUUUGGUUAUACUUAGUGGCGAACGGGUGAGUAACACGUGAAUAAUCUGCCCUGUACGAUGGGAUAACAGCUGGAAACGGCUGCUAAUACCGUAUAUGACCACGCCGAGGCAUCUCGGAGGGGUGAAAGCGCUUAAGCGGUACAGGAUGAGUCGCGUCCAAUUAGCUAGUUGGUGAGGUAACGGCCCACCAAGGCGACGAUUGGUAGCCGACCUGAGAGGGUGAUCGGCCACACUGGAACUGAGACACGGUCCAGACUCCUACGGGAGGCAGCAGUGGGGAAUAUUGGGCAAUGGAGGAAACUCUUUAACCCCCAGCAAUGCCGCGUGAGUGAUGAAGGUCCUCGGAUUGUAAAGCUCUUUGAUUGGGGACGAAUAAAUGACGGUACCCAAGGAACAAGCCCCGGCUAACUAUGUGCCAGCCGCUGC
RNAcentral lists this ribosomal RNA (497 nucleotides) under uncultured bacterium. RNAcentral's name for it is "bacterial SSU rRNA". It matches the Rfam family "Bacterial small subunit ribosomal RNA", at positions 8 to 518 of the family's 1533-position model. The record is from RNAcentral.